This 7653-nucleotide long non-coding RNA is filed under the name Triticum aestivum (bread wheat). RNAcentral describes it as "long non-coding RNA (TAES_LNC003601)". The record is from RNAcentral. Lineage: Eukaryota; Viridiplantae; Streptophyta; Magnoliopsida; Poales; Poaceae.
UUUGAUCUUAUUCGUUACCGACUCGUAGCGCAGCGGGAAGUAGAGUCGAUGACGAACGGCGGUGCAGAUCCCCGCAGGUAGGAUUUACAACCUCCCAACCGCGAGGAUGUAUACCCUCAUCUUCUCCUCAGACAGCCCUCCGGGAGGCGGUCGAACAGCCCUCCGGACGGUGUCGCGGACAGCCCUCCGGGAGGACCUUCGGAACUCGAACGGUCACUCGGACAGCCCUUCGGGAGGACCUUCUAAACUCGGACGGUCACAUGGACAGCCCUUAGGGAGGCACUCACGAACUAAGACCGAAACUACGAUCUCUCUACAGAGUUGCACACAUACGGUGUCAUCUAUCCGGCAGGGCUUCGCCGUCCAGAACUAGUUCCUGCCGGAACCCAGACAGCCUUUCGGCUCUAUGAAACUAUUUCGCUGGGAGGGAGAGAAGAAGCCAGAUCAUUGCAUGGCACUUGUAUGAGAGCAAAGGGAUGGAUGUGGAGGGCUGCCCCUCCACCUCUAUUUAUAGGAAAUCCCAAGGGGUAGGGUAAUUUAACACAAAAACCCAAAAUGCACAUGAAUGAAGUCCUUCCUCAAGGGCAUAAGAGUGAAACCAAGAAACAAGAGGGUCCCCAAGGGGGGAUACCCCAUGUGGCCGGCCACACCCCCAUGAGGGGCCCAAAAAAUGGCUCCUAUCCAUCCAUGUCAUCCCCAAGAUCUUUUGGAGCAAAGCCCCAAAAGGUGGCUUUCCAUAAAAUAACCCAAAAAGCACUUUCACUAUUCACGACGACAUUUUUCAGCGUCCGUUCGAACUGAAAAUAUUUAUGUGGGCUUAGAACAUUUCCAAUACCCACCAUAAUAAUUUUCAACGCGUUCUGGAACAAUUCCAUUUUAGUGAUUUUCAUCUGCGAAACGCAUCUGAAGUGGUUCCGGCAGCUCCGAAACAUUUCCGGUUUUUAUCUCAGAAAAUUCCAAAAAGCUUCCAGAAUGAUUCUGGCACCCUUCAAGAAUUAUCAGGCAUUUGCCGAAACCAAAUUGACUUAAUGGUAUAUACCGAAACAACUUUUCGGUAUCAUCGAAACUCAUCCGAUAACCUCUCUCUGCGGUACGAUUCCGCUGUCCGAAACUUUUCCGGUGUCCGAAACUUUUUCGGUGAUUUUCUCUCAGACUCUCUGUCUAGAAUUCAACAGAUAGAUGACCCUUAAGCGUGUGACCCUAUAGGUUCGGUGAAGUAUAGACAUGACCCGGAACCCCUUCCGAUCAAUGAUCAACAUCGGAGCCGUGGACACCCAUAUUGACCCCUAUACCCACACGAAUGAAUAUUCGAGUGAACCUCCAGUUGCCGUGUGCUAUUCCUGUUGCUUCGCGAUAUGUUACAAAGACCCAAGGUGAAAUUUACUUGCAUCCCCGUGGAUCAACAACUUGUCCACUAUGCUAGUUACCUCGUUACUGGUUUUGUUCUCUUUUCUCGUUUCCGUGUUCCGGCAUCCCUGUGAUCAAAUCACACUGUGUCUGGCCAGACGAUGAUGGAUACCGUAACACCGAGAGGGCCCAAGAAUAUCUCUCCAUUGUCGGAGGAGCAAAUCCCAAUCUUGAGCUAUCAAGUUACUUGACACACUUUUCCAUGAACCUGUAAGCCGCCGUAAUAGCCACCCAUUUACGGAUGACGUUUAACAAACCCCAAAGUUCAUGAAGCAAGCAUGAAGAAACUCGAUACUCUCAUGGUCUAAGGAAUCAUGCAAACGUUAACCAUCUCUGUGUUAUUUACCAUUAACUUGUGACGAAUGAAUCUCAUAGCAUAACAUCAAACCGGGUCGAUUCAACACAAAUGAUCUCUUAACAUUGUGCCCUCAAAGUUGCUGGCAUAGAGAUGCCCAUGAUCAGGAAAACAAAACCAUCAUGCAACACUUGAGCUAGUCUUAGAGGCUAGACUAGGAAUACUUCUUACCGUUUAUUAUUCCACACGUGCAUAUGAGUCUUCCUCCGAGCCUCGUGGAUAUUGCAGACUCGAGAAUCAUUGCAGUUAUAGCAUGGAACAUAAACAUAAUUAUGAACUCAGAGAUAAAUAAUAUCAUUUAUUAUUGCCUCUAGGGCAUAUCUCCUACAGACUCCCACUUGCACUAGAGUCAAUAAUCUAGUUAAUGCUAAUGCACUUUACACCUAUGGUAUACCGGUGUAAAAAAUGCUUCGCAUGUGGUAUAGCCUGAUGUCCAUCAGAUCUGACAACUUCAGCUCCGUGUCUAUCUCUGCAUAUCCUCGCGUUUUCACGCUUUCACAAAAUUCAUAUUUUGUGCGGACUUGGCUUUGUAUAAAUGUGAAUCACAGGUUGAACCUGGAUUCCUCAGACUGAGUUAUGGAGAAACUACCUGCAGUAGUGUCCCAUUGACAAAAGUCAUCUUGGAACCAUACUAAUUUCAUGAAUGAACUAUAUGAUUCAACAUCUUCUUUGUCGCUUUGAAAGCGUCAACAUACUUAGCCUUUGUUAUAGAAUUCGGCACAGUAACUUGUUUGGAACAUUUUCCAACAAACUGUGCCACCACAUUGUGUGCAACACAGAACCCUUAAUUUAAAUCAAAAAUCGCAUGGAGCAUUGAUGAAGACUGUAUCGAUGUAAUUACUUACAAUGAGCUCUUCAUAAUCUCUUAUUGCGAGAAAACAUGUCAUCAGUACUACUCUGGUACUAAAUGACAUCUUUCACUGUUGUCCUAUGAUCAGUACUUUUGAUCACUUUGGUAUCCAUACUCGCAACACCUUUGGAGUAUCGGACAUAUCUGGUUGUUUUACAUACCAUGGAAUACAUGAUUAAUCCAAACACAAGAGUGUGUGGAAUCUCCAUCAUGUAUUUUACUCAUCAGUGUUUUGGGACACCGAAUCUUGCAAAAACUCUUUCCAUGUGACUUCGACAAGAAUCACUCCUUGGCGUUUUUAAAUGCUAAAAGAUUUUAGCAUCUUGUCAAUAUGUAUUCAUAGCUUAGCCCCAUUAGGUAAAUCUAUCUCCAUAGAUCAUCAUGCCUAAUACCAAGGCUAUUUAGCCUAAGCACUUCAUCGAAAAACUAUUUUCAAAUGAAGUCCUAAUUCGUGUCAAGAAAUUUAUUUCCAAUUACCAAUGUGUCAAGCACAUAAGUUUUUUAGAAAUAUUAUUGCGCUCCCACUUACUUUCUUGAAUUACAAGCAUCUUCGUUACCCAUUGAUGAAGUCAAAACCCCUUUUGACCAUUUCAUCAAAACACGAAGAUUCCAACUCCAUUUUGCUCUCUUCUGUCCAUCGCUGGAUCUUUCAAGUUUGCAUAUUUACUAGCAUCCUCUGGAUCGAUAAAUUACUUUGGACUAUAUCACAUACAAGUCCUAGGUUUUAUUUCCAUAAGAUGGAAAUCCUUUUAUCAUCCAUGUUUCAUAUCUCAUGAUUGAAAUAUGUAUUAAUUGCUAAUUCAACCCGAACCGACUUUAAGCAUCGCUACGAUGAAACAACCUCAUCGUAGUCAACGCCUUGAACUUGUUAUUGCAACAAGUCGAGCUUUAUGAAUAAAACAUUUUUAUCCAUAUCAGUUUUAAGUUCCAUAAAUAUUCGUUAGACUCUAAGUCUUCCAAAAGGUGUAUCAAGGUUUUAAUCUUGAAUCACUUAUAUGAAAACUAACUCGGGUUGUAUUGGCAUUUAGCCAAUUCCGGAGUCAGGGCCCAUCAACGCUUACUUGUGUAUCGUAGGUAUACUGUUGUCCAACAACAAUAUCUCGUCUGCGCACCUGAGAGGUUUGCACGAGCCUUGCCUACGUGGUUCAGAUGCAAGUUCGACCGAAGUCCAUACAUUUUAUUGUAGAGACUUCCGUAUCAGUCGCAGUAGGAAACUCUGGAAUUACUUCCAAGGUUCCUUUCCUUUGACCUGAUUGACAAAGAUACUGUUAUCUCGUCGAGUUUGCACUGUCCUCCCACUCACCCUUUUUGAAAGAACCAUUCUCUUUAAAAGCAUACCGUUUCGUGGCAAAACUAUUUGCCUCGGUAUAGUGAGGGAGGAGUACCCAAUGACUUGGGAUAACCUACAAAGUAGCACUUGUCUGAUUUGGAAUAGGUCUGUAACCUUUACACAAACCCCAUAUUCCAAAUGUUUAAGAAAAGAUAUAACAUGGUUGGGCGUACCAUACCAUGGUGUCAUUUCAACAGACCCGACGGAGCUCUUUUCAGUGUAAAAGCCGCAGUCUCUAAAGCAUCACUCUUUAAAAGGGAUAAUGGCAAUUUUAUUUAUGUCAUCUUUGAUCUUACCAUGUCAUAAAUGGUUUGAUUACAUCUCCACGGACUUUCCAUUUGCAGUGGUGUUCCGGGAGGUGCAAGUUUAUGAAACCCCUUUCACAACUCAUCAGACAUUCGCUAAACUUGUAACUCAAAUAUUCCUUUCUGCAAUCAAAUUGUAGAAACGUAAUUUUCUUGUUACAAUAACUUCUACUUCAUUUUUGAAAACCUUUCGAAUGAUUUCAAAAGAUCCAGACUUACGUCUCAUCAAGUAAAUAUCCAUAUAUCUACUUGAGUCAUUUCUGAAGAUAGAUAAAUCCACUACUAACAACACUUAUCGGACUACACACAUCAAAUGUAUGAUCACCAAUAAGUUUGUUGUUCGUUCUUUAUUGCCUGUGAACGGUAUUUCAGUCACUUCACCUUUCGGAGGAAAGUUGCAAGUGUCAGAUGAUUCAAAAUCAAACGACUUCAAAAUCCAUCAUAAUGGAAUUUUCCAUGCGGGUUUCCCCAAAUGUGACCAAAUGUAGUGCCACACUUGUGUGGUAUUCUUUUAGUCUUGUGACAUUUAGUGUCAGUGUUAUGGAUGUAUCAUAUUACCAUCAAUAUUCAUAACAUACAUCCCAUCUUGGAUGGAAGCAUGGCCCUUCAUGUUAUUCAUAAUACUGAACAACAAUUGUUGUUUUUAUGAAUAACCUCUCUUGCAAAAACAUUGUGCAAUGGGCUAGAGUGUAUGAAACUCUAAAAUGAAUUAUGAAAAUAAACCUAGAGGUAAUGUAUUAUUAUCAAUAUUCAUAACAUACAUCUCAUUCAUAAUGAAAGUAUGGCCCUUAUGUUAUUCAUAACACCGAACAUGAAAAGUUCUCUUAUGAACAACCUUCUUGCAAGAUACCUUAUGCAAUGGGCUAGAGUGUGAAACUCUAAAUGAAUUAUGAAAAUAAAUACAGACGGUAAUACACCAAUGGAAAGUAUAGUAACAUUUACUAUGUUCCCUGUGUAUACCUAAACCUCAUUCCUGGCUAGUCUUUCAGGCCAUAGCAGUUCUUACAUCGAGUUGCAACAGAAUGCAAUCGAGUGGGUAUCUUUGUGAUUAACUCACAAUACCCAAGAAUUAGUGAUUAACAUGUUUAACCAUAAUUCGCAAGAACUAUAUCUUUGACCAGCCUACUAUACAUCAAAAACUUGUAUGACAUUCAUACAUGAGCUGGAUAUUCCAGACUUCUUUUCUUUUUGCCAUUUUACUUCUAACAGUUUAACUUUUAGUAUUUCUCCUACUUCCAGAAAAAGAAUCCAACUUCAUCAUAUGAAAGGCUUUCUUCUGGAUCCCUCUCUUAUCAGUCAAAUGCCUAGUAAACACUUUUACUAACAGUUUGCAAAAAAACAUUGCUUUGGAUAUCACAUAUCUGUUAGCCUUUGUUUGUGCCUGAAAAUGAUUUUCAGAUUCCAUGAAUAUCACAUAACUAUCCAAACCUUCGAAGUUCGGGUCUCAUGGAAGCAAACAUAUUGCACUUGACUGAAAACGAAAUUCUAGCUUUUGGAUCGAAGGACGAGAGUCACAUGAUCCAUAGCAUUAGCGGGAGAAUACCGAAAGUAUGCGAUAGGACAAAGUCCUUCUCGGCACUCUUGAGGACAAUCCUCGCAUUACGUUACCAACCGUAAAGUUUUAACCAGAUAUUUAACAGCUAUUCAAUUUUAAUAGGGAAGGUGGAAACGCGAGCCAUUAUUCUAUAACUAUUAGCAAGAAACACUUAGACAGUGUUCAUAAUUAAUUGCACUGAGAAUUAAACAUGUUAAUUCAACAGUGCGCUCCCACUCAAAUCAAUAUCUCUCAUAAUUAAUUUUGAGUGAUACAAGAUCCAGAUUUCAACUCAUCGCCAUAGAAUCAUCAUCUCAUAACGGGAAUUUUAAUCGGUAGGCCAACUUGCCGAUCACAUCUCUAUGUGACUCUUGCUCAUCUUUCGAUGCGUGUGUUCCGAGCUCAGGACGAUCCUGCCAUGAACGUCAAGACAACCAAGUGAUCUUGCUGCGAGGUCUGACCUCACCCGCCUCACACUUCUCUAAUCGUUCGUACCCAUGCAUCCAUGGCGCACCCCGAAAAGAUAGGUGCCGUGACGGUGCUACACUUGGGAGAACACUAACUACUUGAUAUUUUAGUGAGAGAUCACCCUAAUAAAAAGCGACUACCACGCAAUCAAGAAGGGUGCAUCAUAAGGGAUAAACAUCUUAGGCAAUUCAUAAUAGCAUGAUAUGGUAUAGCCCUUUCUGACGGAGAAGUCUUUCAUUUCUUCGUCUUGGGCAUUCGCGUCGGUGUUCACCUUCGUGAAGAUUGCCACCACCUUGUCGAUGCACCAAAUAAUAUUGCUAUCUCUAUAGCUAAUAAAAUAAGUGCAUUACUUAAGGUUGACACGCAGGUCACUAAAGUGACAAUCAUAUGGCUCCAGCCAUCAUGCCGAAUCAUGACACGCAGGUCAUGUUAAUCAAUUUACAUCAUAUAGUCAUCUCAUACAUAAUCAAAUUGAAUAUGAGCAUUGCUAUACCACAUCACAUGCACAUGCAAACCCUCCUGCAAAACCAAGUUAGACGUUUCUAAUUGGUUCAUGCAAACUUGUUUUUCAUGGCUUCUAAGGUUUCGACUUAAACCACAGCUACCAACGUUUUAUCAUCAAGUAUGAUUAUUCAAGUUGCUAGAUUAACAUCUCGGGGUGUAUGAAACACGAGAUAAUUAAAUCUCGAGCCCCAUACUAAACUUCGUCAUACGCAUGACCCCCGUGCAGAUCAUAUCUGCAAUGCCCUUUCAUCUGCGAAUUUCAUCUUUCUUUUGACUACGGUAGAACCCAAAGAACUGAUAGCACUUCCAUGAUCAAUCAGGAUCACGGAUUGCCAGAACUUUGUGAAAUUCCACCAUGCUAUCUCGAGAUUGAGCAAACGCAAAUUCUAGGGAAGCAACAAGAACGUCGGGUAACAGAUUUCAUCUGUCACCCGCAUAAAUAAUUUUCAGCAAUAGAUCUCAUCUACUCCAAAAUUAUAUUAUGCAAUACCCAUACAUCUCCAUGUAUUUUAGAUCGUAACCUGCAUCUACGCAUAGCACGGCUCUUGAUGCCACUGUUGGGGAACGCAGUAGAAAACAAAAAUUUUCCGACCUACGCACCAGCCCAGGACCACUAUGGAGACUGCAUACAUGGUUUGAUCUUAUUCGUUACCGACUCGUAGUGCAGCGGGAAGUAGAGUCGAUGACGAACGGCGGUGCAGAUCCCCGCAGCUAGGAUUUACAACCUCCCAACCGCGAGGAUGUAUACCCUCAUCUUCUCCUCAGACAGCCCUCCGGGAGGCGGUCGAACAGCCCUCCGGACGGUGUCGCGGACAGCCCUCCGGGAGGACCUUCGGAACUCGAACGGUCACUCGGACAGCCCUUCGGGAGGACCUUCAAAACUCGGACGGUCACAUGGAC